CCUACGGGGGGCAGCAGUGAGGAAUAUUGGUCAAUGGGCGAGAGCCUGAACCAGCCAAGUCGCGUGAAGGAUGACGGCCCUACGGGUUGUAAACUUCUUUUGUAAGGGAGCAAUUGAGUCCACGUGUGGUCUUAGCGAGAGUACCUGAAGAAAAAGCAUCGGCUAACUACGUGCCAGCAGCCGCGGUAAUACGGAGGAUGCGAGCGUUAUCCGGAUUUGUUGGGUUUAAAGGGUGCGUAGGCGGAAUAUCAAGUCAGCGGUAAAAAUUCGGGGCUCAACCCCGUCGUGCCGUUGAAACUGAUGUUCUUGAGUGGGCGAGAAGGAUACGGGAUGCGUGGUGUAGCGGUGAAAUGCAGAGAUAUCACGCAGAACUACGAUUGCGAAGGCAGCAUAACGGCGCCCAACUGACGCUGAAGCACGAAAGCGUGGGUAUCGAACAGGAUUAGAUACCCGUGUAGUC
This 460-nucleotide ribosomal RNA is filed under the name uncultured bacterium. Its description in RNAcentral is "partial 16S ribosomal RNA". It matches the Rfam family "Bacterial small subunit ribosomal RNA", at positions 338 to 795 of the family's 1533-position model. The record is from RNAcentral.